GAUGAAGAACGUAGCGAAAUGCGAUAAGUAGUGUGAAUUGCAGAAUUCAGUGAAUUAUCGAAUCUUUGAACGCACAUUGCGGCCAUAGGUAUUCCUUUGGCCAUGCCUGUUCGAGCGUCAUUUACACCCUCAAGCCUAGCUUGGUGUUGGGCGUCUGUCCCGCCGUUCUCGCGCGCGGACUCGCCUCAAAGUCAUUGGCGGCGGUCGUGCCGGCCCCCUCGCGCAGCACAUUUGCGCUUCUCGGAGGCCCGGCGGAUCCGCGCUCCAGCAAGACCUUUCACGACUUGACCUCGGAUCAGGUAGGGAUACCCGCUGAACUUAAGCAUAUCAAUAAGCGGAGGA
Molecule: unclassified non-coding RNA, 342 nt
Filed under: soil metagenome
Description: partial contains 5.8S ribosomal RNA, internal transcribed spacer 2, and large subunit ribosomal RNA
Rfam family: 5.8S ribosomal RNA (bases 1-120)
Source: RNAcentral